RNAcentral lists this ribosomal RNA (511 nucleotides) under uncultured bacterium. RNAcentral's name for it is "bacterial SSU rRNA". It matches the Rfam family "Bacterial small subunit ribosomal RNA", at positions 1 to 507 of the family's 1533-position model. The record is from RNAcentral.
ACGUCUACGAGUUUGAUCCUGGCUCAGAGCGAACGUUUGCGGCGGGCCUAACACAUGCAAGUCGAACGGGCAGUCCCUUCGGGGGCUGUCAGUGGCGCACGGGUGCGUAACACGUAGGUAAUCAACCCUCGGGUUCGGGAUAACACUUCGAAAGGGGUGCUAAUACCGGAUGCGACGAGCGUCUCCUCGGAGAUGCACGGGAAAGAUCCGCAAGGGUCGCCCGAGGACGAGCCUGCGGCCCAUCAGCUUGUUGGUGAGGUAAUGGCUCACCAAGGCUAAGACGGGUAGCUGGUCUGAGAGGAUGAUCAGUCACACUGGAACUGAGACACGGUCCAGACUCCUACGGGAGGCAGCAGUGGGGAAUAUUGCGCAAUGGGCGAAAGCCUGACGCAGCCACGCCGCGUGAGCGAUGAAGGCCUUCGGGUCGUAAAGCUCUGUGGGGGGAGAAGAAAAAGCCGGUGAAGAGCCGGACCUGACGGUAUCCCCUUAGCAAGCACCGGCUAACUCCGUA